RNAcentral lists this ribosomal RNA (520 nucleotides) under uncultured Glomus. RNAcentral describes it as "SSU rRNA". It matches the Rfam family "Eukaryotic small subunit ribosomal RNA", at positions 569 to 1092 of the family's 1831-position model. The record is from RNAcentral. Lineage: Eukaryota; Fungi; Glomeromycota; Glomeromycetes; Glomerales; Glomeraceae.
AGCAGCCGCGGUAAUUCCAGCUCCAAUAGCGUAUAUUAAAGUUGUUGCAGUUAAAAAGCUCGUAGUUGAAUUUCGGGGCCAGUAGGUCGGUCGUGCCACUGGUAUGAACUGGUCUCACUGGUCCCUCCCUCUUGAAGAACCGUGAUGCCAUUAAUUUGGUGUUGCGGGGAAACAGGACUGUUACUUUGAAAAAAUUAGAGUGCUUAAAGCAGGCUUACGCUUGAAUACAUUAGCAUGGAAUAACGAAAUAGGACGAUCGAUUCUAUUUUGUUGGUUUCUAGGAUCGACGUAAUGAUUAAUAGGGAUAGUUGGGGGCAUUAGUAUUCAAUUGUCAGAGGUGAAAUUCUUGGAUUUAUUGAAGACUAACUACUGCGAAAGCAUUUGCCAAGGAUGUUUUCAUUAAUCAAGAACGAAAGUUAGGGGAUCGAAGACGAUCAGAUACCGUGUAGUCUUAACCAUAAACUAUGCCGACUAGGGAUCGGAUGAAGUUAUUUUUAAUUGACUNAUUCGGCGCCUUACG